This 497-nucleotide ribosomal RNA is filed under the name uncultured bacterium. Its description in RNAcentral is "partial 16S ribosomal RNA". It matches the Rfam family "Bacterial small subunit ribosomal RNA", at positions 28 to 507 of the family's 1533-position model. The record is from RNAcentral.
GACGAACGCUGGCGGCGUGCCUAAUACAUGCAAGUUGAGCGAUGAAGAUUGGUGCUUGCACCAAUUUGAAGAGCAGCGAACGGGUGAGUAACGCGUGGGGAAUCCGCCUUUGAGCGGGGGACAACAUUUGGAAACGAAUGCUAAUACCGCAUAACAACUUUAAACAUAAGUUUUAAGUUUGAAAGAUGCAAUUGCAUCACUCAAAGAUGAUCCCGCGUUGUAUUAGCUAGUUGGUGAGGUAAAGGCUCACCAAGGCGAUGAUACAUAGCCGACCUGAGAGGGUGAUCGGCCACAUUGGGACUGAGACACGGCCCAAACUCCUACGGGAGGCAGCAGUAGGGAAUCUUCGGCAAUGGACGAAAGUCUGACCGAGCAACGCCGCGUGAGUGAAGAAGGUUUUCGGAUCGUAAAACUCUGUUGGUAGAGAAGAACGUUGGUGAGAGUGGAAAGCUCAUCAAGUGACGGUAACUACCCAGAAAGGGACGGCUAACUACGUG